RNAcentral lists this ribosomal RNA (1840 nucleotides) under Triticum aestivum (bread wheat). RNAcentral describes it as "partial small subunit ribosomal RNA". The record is from RNAcentral. Lineage: Eukaryota; Viridiplantae; Streptophyta; Magnoliopsida; Poales; Poaceae.
AUGACCACUUUGAGUAAUAUAUUCAGGUGGAGGGACUCCUCCCCCGUUUAUGGCUCCAUCAAGCCUGGAACGGAUUGUCCAACAUCAUGUGGGAACAUCACCAUCCCGUUCCCCUUUGGCACAAAGCUAGGCUGCUUUGCAGCUGUCCAUCUCUACUUAGCAUGUAUGCCAGGGACCCUUCUUCCUGUCCUUGAAUUGACUAGUGGAAUGGUCGUAAGUGACAUAUCUCUUGAUGAUGGUGUCUUGCACAUUCGUGAGGAAUCUGAGCCAGACGGUUUCUUCUCUGGUUCGGGCUCAAACUCUGCGCUCUACUCCUUGUCCGGGAAAUGGGGAGUGGUGAAAUGGGCUGUUGACAAAAUGACAUGCGAACAUGCAAAGAUAAACAGGAGCGACUACAGAUGCUUGAGCUCCCAUAGCGAGUGCAUCGAUGUCACCGAUGAUGGAACACUCAGACAUCUGGGUUACCGGUGCAAGUGCUCUUCUGGUUUUGAAGGAAAUCCUUACAUCAAGGAUGGAUGCACAGAUACUAACGAGUGCCUACAGCCAGAUAAAUACAUCUGCAAUGGUAUAUGCCACAAUAAAUUCGGGAGCUAUACAUGCACCAGUACUGUAAUAUUGGGUGUCAGCAUUGGACUAGGCAGUGGUGGGGCAAUCCUCUUUCUUGCUGCGAUUGUUGCCGUUGUGACGCGGAGAUGGAAGAGAAACGUCGAGAAACGUGUGAGAAAGAGGCAUUUCCAUAAGAAUAGAGGCAUUCUGCUACAACAGCUCAUCUCUUCAGACAAAAGUGCCAACGACGGCACCAAUAUAUUCUCCCUGGAUGAGAUGCAGAAGGCAACCAACAAUUUCGAGCACACUCGUGUAGUCGGGCGCGGGGGGCAUGGCACCGUCUAGGCGUCUACCCUUACUGACCAGCGCGUUGUGGCCAUCAAGAAGUCAACGCGUGUGGUGAUGAGCGAGAUUGACCAGUUCAUCAAUGAGGUGGCCAUCCUUUCACAGAUCAACCACCGCAACGUGGUGAAGCUCCAUGGAUGCUGCCUCGAGUCAGAGGUCCCCCUGCUUGUCUACGAGUUUGUCUCCAAUGGCACGCUCUACGACCUCCUGCACCGCUCCUCUGGGUCGAAGCAGGACGGUGGCCUGUCGCCCUUGUCCUGGGAGGAGCGCUUGAGGGUCGCCAUCGAUCGCGGGCGCGCUCGCGUAUCUGCACUCCGCAGCUUCCGUGUCCAUCCUACACAGGGACAUCAAAUGCAUGAACGUGCUCCUGACGGACAGCUGCACCGCCAAGGUAUCAGAUUUCGGUGCAUCGAGGUUGAUCCCGCCGGAUCAUACGCACCUGGUGACCGUUGUCCAGGGCACGUUCGGGUACCUGGAUCCAGAGUACUACCACACCGGUAUGCUCAACGAGAAAAGCGACGUUUACAGCUUCGGGGUGAUCCUUGUUGAGCUCCUGACGAGAAGGAAACCCAUCAUCGAGAACGAGCACGGCGAGAAGCAGAACCUAUCUAGCUACUUCCUGUGGGCUAUGAGGGAGAGGAGACCCCUCCAAGAGACCCUGGACACACACAUCUUGUUCGAGGAAGGAAUCAGCGAGGAAAAGGUCCUGUGCGUGGCUCGGUUGGCGGAAGAGUGCCUCAGUCUCACGCGAGGGAACAGGCCUACCAUGAAAGAUGUGGAGAUGAGGCUGGAGCUCUUAACUGGGCGCCGUGUUGCACGACUUGCUGGCCAGGAACAGGUGGCGCCACGGCCGCGCUGUGGUGGCGUUGUUCCGGUGAUUGGUGACCACAGCUCACGACAGUUCAGCCAAGAGCAGGAGUUUGUGUCCUCUCUGCAAGUACCGCGCUAG